RNAcentral lists this long non-coding RNA (453 nucleotides) under Cyanoderma ruficeps (rufous-capped babbler). RNAcentral's name for it is "lncRNA (ENSCRFG00000005633.1)". The record is from RNAcentral. Lineage: Eukaryota; Metazoa; Chordata; Aves; Passeriformes; Timaliidae.
GCGCUGGGUUUCUCCCUCUUGCAUCUCGUUGUCCCCCUCCAGAGUGAGCGCGGUGACAGCAAGAAGGGGUUGGCAAGUUUAAUGUUAUGUCCCAGGCCUGGCAAAAUACUCCGAAUAACUUAUUAAAACUCCUCUAUAGCUUGCAGUCCUGCAGAAAGAAAUAUCUUCACUGGAAGUUCUGAUAAACCUGAACAUGAACAGUGGGCAGAAAAAAAGUGUGCAGUCAUGCAGCUGUGCAGCUGCCAGGCCAACCUGCAACAUCACCUCUACAGAAGUAGAUCAGAGUUUCUGCUUCCAGGAGGUGUAGAAAGACACAUAAAGAUUAAACACCCAUCGAAAAACAUCCUGCCAUGCAAAUACAAGAAUUUUUGUCGUCAGUACCAUACAACAACCACAAGCCCUGGAAUGCAUGGGGCUGUAGAGGCAUUCCUUCACACAUCCCCUGCACCGUGA